GUAAAUACUGUUGUUAUCUGAGCUAAAGAAAACUAAGUGAAGUCACUGGACAAAGAGCUGUCCAGAACUGAACAUCAGUCAACUGGGAGAAUAGCACAGGUUGCACCAAUUGAUGUAAUAUACUUGUAAAAUUCUGUGUACACAGAA
RNAcentral lists this long non-coding RNA (147 nucleotides) under Meleagris gallopavo (turkey). RNAcentral's name for it is "lncRNA (ENSMGAG00000019669.1)". The record is from RNAcentral. Lineage: Eukaryota; Metazoa; Chordata; Aves; Galliformes; Phasianidae.